This 26-nucleotide transfer RNA is filed under the name Mugil cephalus (flathead mullet). RNAcentral's name for it is "partial tRNA-Thr". Lineage: Eukaryota; Metazoa; Chordata; Actinopteri; Mugiliformes; Mugilidae. The record is from RNAcentral.
UGAAGGUUAGAAUCCUUCCUAGUACA